AUUUACGUCGUGCCAAUGGUC
Molecule: non-coding RNA, 21 nt
Filed under: Arabidopsis thaliana (thale cress)
Lineage: Eukaryota; Viridiplantae; Streptophyta; Magnoliopsida; Brassicales; Brassicaceae
Source: RNAcentral